Molecule: ribosomal RNA, 496 nt
Filed under: uncultured bacterium
Lineage: Bacteria
Description: partial 16S ribosomal RNA
Rfam family: Bacterial small subunit ribosomal RNA
Source: RNAcentral
GAUGAACGCUGGCGGCGUGCCUAAUACAUGCAAGUCGAGCGAACAGACGAGGAGCUUGCUCCUCUGACGUUAGCGGCGGACGGGUGAGUAACACGUGGAUAACCUACCUAUAAGACUGGGAUAACUUCGGGAAACCGGAGCUAAUACCGGAUAAUAUAUUGAACCGCAUGGUUCAAUAGUGAAAGACGGUUUUGCUGUCACUUAUAGAUGGAUCCGCGCCGCAUUAGCUAGUUGGUAAGGUAACGGCUUACCAAGGCAACGAUGCGUAGCCGACCUGAGAGGGGGAGGGGCCAAAUGGGAAUGGAAAAAGGGUCCAAAAUCCUAGGGGGGGAAGCAGGAGGAAAUCUUCCGAAAGGGGGGAAAGCCGACGGGAGAACGGCGGGGGGAGGAAUAAAGGUUUUCGGAUGGUAAAAAUUUGUUAUGGGGGAAAAAAAAAGGUGAAAGAAAAAAUGGAGUUUUUAAGGGUACAUAAAAAAAAAGCCAGGGCAAAUCACGG